UGGGGUGUAGCUCAAGUGGCAGAGCGCCUGGCUGUUAACCAGGAGGUUGGAGGUUCGAACCCUCCCGCCCCAG
RNAcentral lists this transfer RNA (73 nucleotides) under Longimicrobiales bacterium. RNAcentral's name for it is "tRNA-Asn". It matches the Rfam family "tRNA". Rfam says of the family: Transfer RNA (tRNA) molecules are approximately 80 nucleotides in length. Their secondary structure includes four short double-helical elements and three loops (D, anti-codon, and T loops). Further hydrogen bonds mediate the characteristic L-shaped molecular structure. tRNAs have two regions of fundamental functional importance: the anti-codon, which is responsible for specific mRNA codon recognition, and the 3' end, to which the tRNAs corresponding amino acid is attached (by aminoacyl-tRNA synthetases). tRNAs cope with the degeneracy of the genetic code in two manners: having more than one tRNA (with a specific anti-codon) for a particular amino acid; and 'wobble' base-pairing, i.e. permitting non-standard base-pairing at the 3rd anti-codon position. The record is from RNAcentral. Lineage: Bacteria; Pseudomonadati; Gemmatimonadota; Longimicrobiia; Longimicrobiales.